GGGGGUGUAGCUCAUACGGUAGAGCGCUCGCUUCGCAUGCGAGAGGCACGGGGUUCAAUUCCCCGCACCUCCA
Molecule: transfer RNA, 73 nt
Organism: Gossypium raimondii (Peruvian cotton)
Lineage: Eukaryota; Viridiplantae; Streptophyta; Magnoliopsida; Malvales; Malvaceae
Rfam family: tRNA
About the family: Transfer RNA (tRNA) molecules are approximately 80 nucleotides in length.
Source: Rfam